This is a long non-coding RNA of Pieris rapae (cabbage white), 546 nucleotides long. RefSeq lists it as uncharacterized. The record is from RefSeq and is a predicted model, not a curated record. NCBI's taxonomy places the organism in Eukaryota, Metazoa, Arthropoda, Insecta, Lepidoptera, Pieridae. The transcript has 3 exons.
CUAGUUACGUAUAUCACAGGAAUAAAUGUGCUUUAAUAAACAUUAUACAGUGUUCUGUGUAGUUUGUUUGUUGUGUUUUAGUGUCAAUUAUCCUUAUAUUAAUAUGAAGUUGGUUGCGGUCAUCUGUUCGCUGUUGGUGGCCUGUCAAGCUAACAAUGGAGCGACGCCACGUACAAUAAACAAUUAUGUAGAAACACACAACAACAAUUACAACAUAAAUUACAACGUGUACGACCCGAACGCGUAUUACAACAACAUGCAACAACAAUACCAGAACGCCAUGCUCGGUCGUUAUUAUUCAACGUACAGACCAAAUAUUGCUGAGGGCAUUCUUCAUGCUGUUUCUGACACUGUGUGGAACAUUGGAAGUCUUAUAGGAGCUCGACAUUACUAAAAGAUGUUAUAGAAAUAAUUACAGUAGUAGUACAUAAUGGAAUUACCUUUUUACGUAUGGCAACAUUGGAUGGGUCCAGUGUUGCCAUAGGUAAGAAUGUAAGAAGCCUACAGAAAGUCCCAACUUUCUGUAGGCUUCAGUUAUAAAAAAAA